This 495-nucleotide ribosomal RNA is filed under the name uncultured bacterium. Its description in RNAcentral is "partial 16S ribosomal RNA". It matches the Rfam family "Bacterial small subunit ribosomal RNA", at positions 28 to 507 of the family's 1533-position model. The record is from RNAcentral.
GACGAACGCUGGCGGCGUGCCUAAUACAUGCAAGUAGAACGCUGAAGGAGGAGCUUGCUUCCCUGGAUGAGUUGCGAACGGGUGAGUAACGCGUAGGUAACCUGCCUGGUAGCGGGGGAUAACUAUUGGAAACGAUAGCUAAUACCGCAUAAGAGUAGAUGUUGCAUGACAUUUGCUUAAAAGGUGCAAUUGCAUCACUACCAGUUGGACCUGCGUUGUAUUAGCUAGUUGGUGGGGUAACGGCUCACCAAGGCGACGAUACAUAGCCGACCUGAUGGGGUGAUUGGCCACCCUGGGACGGAGGCACGGCCCAGACUUCUACGGGGGGGAGCAGUAGGGAAUCUUCGGCAAUGGACGGAAAUCUGACCGAACAACGCCGGGUGAGUGAAGAAGGGUUUCGGAUCGUAAAGCUCUGUUGUAAGAGAAGAACGAGUGUGAGAGUGGAAUGUUCACACUGUGACGGUAUCUUACCAGAAAGGGACGGCUAACUACGUG